UACGGGGGGGGCAAGCGUUGUUCGGAAUUACUGGGCGUAAAGGGCGCGUAGGCGGCCUGCUAAGUCGGAUGUGAAAUCCCUCGGCUCAACCGAGGAACUGCAUCCGAUACUGGCGGGCUUGAAUCCGGGAGAGGGAUGUGGAAUUCCAGGUGUAGCGGUGAAAUGCGUAGAUAUCUGGAGGAAUACCAGUGGCGAAGGCGCUGGGCUGGACGGUCAUUGACGCUGAGGUGCGAAAGCGUGGGGAGCAAACAGG
This 253-nucleotide ribosomal RNA is filed under the name uncultured bacterium. Its description in RNAcentral is "partial 16S ribosomal RNA". It matches the Rfam family "Bacterial small subunit ribosomal RNA", at positions 524 to 776 of the family's 1533-position model. The record is from RNAcentral.